This 529-nucleotide ribosomal RNA is filed under the name Salmonella enterica subsp. enterica serovar Infantis. RNAcentral describes it as "partial 23S ribosomal RNA". It matches the Rfam family "Bacterial large subunit ribosomal RNA", at positions 711 to 1227 of the family's 2925-position model. Lineage: Bacteria; Pseudomonadati; Pseudomonadota; Gammaproteobacteria; Enterobacterales; Enterobacteriaceae. The record is from RNAcentral. RNAcentral also lists the same sequence under 2 other names.
AGACCCGAAACCCGGUGAUCUAGCCAUGGGCAGGUUGAAGGUUGGGUAACACUAACUGGAGGACCGAACCGACUAAUGUUGAAAAAUUAGCGGAUGACCUGUGGCUGGGGGUGAAAGGCCAAUCAAACCGGGAGAUAGCUGGUUCUCCCCGAAAGCUAUUUAGGUAGCGCCUCGUGAAUUCAUCUCCGGGGGUAGAGCACUGUUUCGGCUAGGGGGCCAUCCCGGCUUACCAACCCGAUGCAAACUGCGAAUACCGGAGAAUGUUAUCACGGGAGACACACGGCGGGUGCUAACGUCCGUCGUGAAGAGGGAAACAACCCAGACCGCCAGCUAAGGUCCCAAAGUCAUGGUUAAGUGGGAAACGAUGUGGGAAGGCCCAGACAGCCAGGAUGUUGGCUUAGAAGCAGCCAUCAUUUAAAGAAAGCGUAAUAGCUCACUGGUCGAGUCGGCCUGCGCGGAAGAUGUAACGGGGCUAAACCAUGCACCGAAGCUGCGGCAGCGAACGUAUCACUUAAAGCGAUUCAGCGGG